AUCUAAACCCAUGAUAAUUUAGCGUACUUGGCUAUCGCGGUGCUCACCUUUUAUUUAUAAUCCAAUAAGUAGUGUCUUCGUAGGAAACCUACUAAGACUCAAAACACCUAAUUACAACUGAAAAAGGAAAUCAAAAACAACUCAACUCUAAGACUCAACUCAUAGCACAAUGGGGAAAAUCCCCCUAUCAUGAACACUCUUUAACAGACUGAAAUUUGACAUAUGACCAGUCCAAACCGUGCCUUAUCUACUAAAUAGAUAUGUCAUCCUCCCACAUGACAAAAUUAAGUGGACCACACUGGAAGACAUUGCUAUGUGGGCCUUGUGAAGAAGGCAUGGCAUUUUACUGUUUAAUAAUCCCUAGUCUUAUCUUUUAUUUUUCUCCUUUGUGCAUUUAAUUAGGUGAAAAGUUAUGAGGGCAGUCCUUCAAGGAGCCGUAGUCAAAGCAGGAGUCGCAGUAGAAGCAGAAGCGUGAGAAGGGAUCGGAGCAAAUCUUUGGAUCGAUCUGUCUUGAGAUCACCAUCAAAAUCUAGGUCCCCAUCUCCUGCCAGCUUGCCCAGGUCAAGGUCAAGGUCAAGGUCAAGGUCAAGGUCGAGGUCGAGAUCUAGGUCAGGUUCACCACGCCAGGCUCGAUCAGGGAGCGCAUGAAAACCAUGCAGUGGAAUCAGAAGAGUUGGCGGUAGGGGAGCUGUUAGGCAAAAUGUAAUAUCUGUGGAUCUGCUAGCUGUAUCGUGAAUGUGAUUGCCUUUCAUUAACUAAGUCAAAAACUCGGUGGAGACUUAUUCUGUUACAUCCUCAUUGGGUCUGUAGAGCGAGUCGGAGUAUGAUACUUAGUCUGUGCUACUAAUACUGUCCUAAGAGUUUUACUUAGUCUGUGCUACUAAUACUGUCCGAAGAGUUUUACUUAGUCUGUGCUACUUAUACUGUCCUAAGAGUUUUAACUAAAUUUCAUGUCUUUUGAGAUACUACCUAGUUACAUAAUCCUCUACUUAAA
This is a long non-coding RNA of Macadamia integrifolia, 994 nucleotides long. RefSeq lists it as uncharacterized. The record is from RefSeq and is a predicted model, not a curated record. Lineage: Eukaryota; Viridiplantae; Streptophyta; Magnoliopsida; Proteales; Proteaceae. The transcript has 4 exons.